RNAcentral lists this long non-coding RNA (504 nucleotides) under Phoenix dactylifera (date palm). RNAcentral's name for it is "long non-coding RNA (PDAC_LNC023067)". The record is from RNAcentral. Lineage: Eukaryota; Viridiplantae; Streptophyta; Magnoliopsida; Arecales; Arecaceae.
UGAUAUGGAGGUAUACUAUGAUUUUGCUUAAUUUUGAAGAUAAUUUUUUUUAGAGGCAAAUUAAGAUCCAUUUAUAUAAAGUUGUUUAAGAUUUGGGCUAUGAAACCUUUUUACAGUGCUUGAUUAAAAUAUUCUUCGAGGAUUGAAAACUGUAUGUGGAUCAUGUAUGAAACUCCUGUGUAGAUGGAGAAUAUAUUUGGGAUAAAAUUCUAGAAUUUAUUCUUUGGCUUUACCGAGAAUUUGAAAUUUUAGAUCUUUUCAAAUUACAAUAUAGAUUGGGAUUUUGAUUGGAAGUAAUUUAGUAAAUUAUGAGAAUACUGGUUGUUUAAAUUAUUUUAAGAUGAUCAACGAUAUUAACUCUAUGAUUGGAAAAUAUUUUCUGAUGGGUUUCCUUGUUAAGGAGAAUUUCGUUGUCAAAGAAAAGAAUAGUGUUUUUGAUUUUGACUGGAUAUUAUCAUGUUAUUAAUAGGUUCUUCUAUCUGUUGUAAAGAGAGAGAGAGAGAG